Beta vulgaris subsp. vulgaris (sugar beet) is the source of this 1186-nucleotide long non-coding RNA. RefSeq lists it as uncharacterized. The transcript has 3 exons. Lineage: Eukaryota; Viridiplantae; Streptophyta; Magnoliopsida; Caryophyllales; Amaranthaceae. The record is from RefSeq and is a predicted model, not a curated record.
GUAUUUUUUUCCUAUAGAUCAAUUAUUCUCUUCAAGAUUUCAGUUUAAUAACCCAAGUGGUUAAGAAUUGGGAGAAACCUUAAAACAAAAAUAAAACCCCAAAACCUCAAUUUUCUCUCUCCUCUGAUUUUAUACCCCGUACUGUGCAUGCUCAAUUUCUCCAUUUUAGAUUCGGAAUUUGCCCAAACUUAUUGAAUCAAAGUUGUAGAUCUUCGAAAAGUUAUUGAACUUAGACCCAAAAAUCACUUGAUUUGGAGUUCGGAGCUGUGAGUUAUGGUCUUUGCAAGUUUGAUGUUGCUACCUUCAAUUCUCUCUCCUUUGUUUUUACUCCGACAAUCUGUUACCCCAAUUAUCUACAACAUGCAAUCAAAUUUUGCUCUUUAUUGCUGAAUCAAAGGGGUAGAUAACUUCGAGCUAAUGAAUUUUGGCACAAAAAUCACUUGAUUCGGAGUUUUGAGCUAUGAGUUAUGAUCUUUGUAAGUUUGGUGUUGCUACCUUCAUUUCUCUCUCCUCUGUUUUUAUUCCGACAAUCUGUUACCUCAAUUAUCUACAACAUGAAUUCCAAUUUUUCUCUUUGUUGCUGAAUCAAAUUUGUAGAUCACUUCGAGCUAAUGAAUUUGGGCACAAAAAUCGCUCAAUUCGGAGUUCGGAGCUAGGAGUUACGCCUCACACAAGUUCAGCACUGCUGCUGUACCUUGUGUUGUGCUGCUGUCGUGGUUGGCUUGUUUGCCCAUGUUGUCAUUGCUAAAUUGUUGCCUUGUUGCUGCCAUUGUUGGUAUUCUUUUCCAUAUGAAGGUCGUUGUUAGAGUAUGUAUAUGGAGAUAAUUUAUGAAGUUCGAGCUAUAGUUGGUUAUCCAGAAUGUCGAAUUAUUGAGAAUCGUGUAAAGGGUUCAUUGUUAGUGAUUUUGCAGGGUUGAUGUCGAGGUCGUGGAAUAUGAUUAUUGAUCAAGAAGAAGAGUUUUAUGUUAUGAAAUGGUGGGCUGAGGUUAAAGUUAGAUGUUUCGUUUCAAAGUAUUCGUAAUCUGUUAUUUGAUUUUCAAGUUGUUAUAUUGUGGGCCCCUGACCCACAGAUACAGGAUCGUUUUUAUAGGUUUAGUUUCCGCUGUAAAUAAAUGCAAAUUCAAGGUUUGUUAAGUGUUGAUUCUAUUUUGUGUAUCUUAAUUGUGAUUAGUUAGCAGCUCGGAAG